RNAcentral lists this transfer RNA (73 nucleotides) under Netta rufina (red-crested pochard). RNAcentral's name for it is "tRNA-Asn". It matches the Rfam family "tRNA". From Rfam's summary of the family: Transfer RNA (tRNA) molecules are approximately 80 nucleotides in length. Their secondary structure includes four short double-helical elements and three loops (D, anti-codon, and T loops). The record is from RNAcentral. Lineage: Eukaryota; Metazoa; Chordata; Aves; Anseriformes; Anatidae.
UAGGCAGAGGCCAGUGGGUUAAGGCGUUUAGCUGUUAACUAAAAUUUUACGGGAUCGAAGCCCGUCUGUCUAG